ACGGCAUGGUGUGGGCAUUUAUGGAUUAGGUCUUUGAGCCUCUCCCAACUCUCGUGGAACAUUUCUCCAUUUAUUUGAAAAAAAUUGGUAAUGACUUUUCUAAUCUA
Molecule: small nucleolar RNA, 107 nt
Organism: Elaeis guineensis (African oil palm)
Lineage: Eukaryota; Viridiplantae; Streptophyta; Magnoliopsida; Arecales; Arecaceae
Source: RefSeq, a predicted model, not a curated record